Molecule: long non-coding RNA, 834 nt
Organism: Hemiscyllium ocellatum (epaulette shark)
Lineage: Eukaryota; Metazoa; Chordata; Chondrichthyes; Orectolobiformes; Hemiscylliidae
Exons: 3
Source: RefSeq, a predicted model, not a curated record
GAAGGGAAAGAUCGGUUUGUCCCGUUCCUGUCAUUGCUAGGCCUCGGGUGCAUUCAUUUGCAGUUACUUUUAUCGUGUUUCUUUAACACUCCUCAUUCACGUCUGCGAGGGAUGUGACGGCGACCGCAAAAGAGCUCCAACUCACCUCAUCUUCCUUGUGGUUCCGGAUGCCACGUACCAGGUCCUGCAAAUUCUUGUCAAACAUUCGGUCAAUGCUGCCUUUCACAAUUUUCAGAGCCAUGUUCCUUCGGGUCGGCUUUCUCCGGGAACCUCUUCAGCGCUGCACAAACCAGUCCCUCCUUCAGCAACAACCAAUGCCGCGAAACAUGCCAGUUUUUCUCUCUUACAUCUGUACUUAACCGUGGAAAGGAGAGGAAUCAGUCUGGUUCUUUGCUCAAUAAUCACAACAUCCUUCCUCGGAUAAGGAGACCUUCCUGACCUACACACAAUGUUCCAGUGUCUGUUCGUGACAGGGUGGGAAGAUUAUCCACAGGCCUUUCUCUCAUGGAAUUAUUCGGGCUGGAGGGAAGAAAUCUUAUCCACAACUCACCAUAGUGGAUUCCACCCAUGGUUUCUUGAUCCUGCAAUCAAUCAUCUUAAAUAAUGGGUUCGUUAAGACAUGCAACUAAGUUCAAGCUGAGUAUCUAGAUUGAGGUCAACAAGCCAUUACUUGAAUUUUCAAAAAUUUGUGUAAUUAUGGAACAGAAUCUUCUAAAGCCCUUAUCCUAGCUUUGGACCUCAAAUAGCAUAAGAUGUAUAUCUGAGGCAGAUUUUCAAAAUCCUUUAAACCCUAUCAAGGCAGAUGAAGGAAAGUCUGUGUUUAUGUAUGAAUGU